UAAGAACUGGAAACCAGAAAAUUUUCCUGAAUGUAGUAGUUAAUAAUGCUAUGGAAGGGUUAGACAGCAUUUGAAAAUGUAACACUGCUAUUCAGUUAACAGUUAUUUAUAUGUAUGCUCAACCAUGUUUGCUUCAGACUAUUACAUGAACUAGAUGCAAUUUAUACAUAAAUGCCACAAGGUCCCAAAAUAUGCAUACUUUUUGUUUUAGAAUUAGAACUUGAGUGUGUAAAAUAACAUUUAGGAAAAAACAAAAGAUGUAAAUUUCAUCAGCACAGUAACUUGUUAAAACAUUUACUCCUGGUCGCCACUGUUUUCAGCUCAAAUGCUUCUAAUAAGUAAAAUAUAUUCAUUUUUAGGCUUUUUCAUUGUAUUGUUGUUAUUAUAAGCCAAUUGAACUGUAGAGCAGCCAGUUAAUGAUCGCUACACAAUUCUACCAGAAAUAUAACCUCGGCAGUAAUCUGCAUAGACCUCUAAGAGAAAAUCUGAAAUUUCAUUUUUUAUGGGGUGUUCACUGUAUGAGGACCCAUAAGUUUACUUAUGACUAUCAAACAAACUCCAGAAGCUGGUAGAGAAACUAUAGAGAGAAAGGUAAGAAGCAAUAAAACAAACGUUUUUCUUUCUGUAAUAAUUAGCUUUGACUGGAAGCUUCCGAGUUAAAAUAUAAUUGAUGUAUAAUUGUAGAUAUCAGGUUAUAUUUGUCUAAUUUCGUGUCGUAGUCUGCUCUCUUACCAAGUAUUUUAUAAACAUUAAUUAUUCAUAGUUUAAAAACAACUGACUCAAUUAAGGUAGUUUAAUAUUAGUUUACAUCACCAGAAAUAAAGCAUGGGGAAGCCUAAGUUUCUUAUUUUCUGAUACAAACAAUCCUGUUAGUCAGCCUACAAGUUCAAUGAAAUAACUUCUCAUAUGAGAAGUUACUGGAGGAAACAUUAGUGACAAAUAAUUUUUGGUAAUAACUGCAUGUAAUUAUAAUGUGGAACUUAUUUCCAGCCUGCUUUAUGGUUGGAUUUUGAGCCAGUUUGGCCAUAUUUUUACACACUAUUACUUUAAGCUUAGUAAAAAACAAUUUUUUUACCUAAUUCUUUUUUACUGAAAUCAAUAUUUUAAUUCAAGUAAAAACUACUAGGUGAUAAUGCUGAUUAGUUUGUCUAUAAUAAAUUAUAACAAAAUGUGUAUAGAAAUAUAGUCCAAAAUCUUUUAUUUAAGUUUUUAUUUUGUGGAUGAUUAAAGAUAAAAAUGCUAGGCAGAACUUAUUAUUGCUCUAAAAAAGCAAAGAACUGAAAUGGUUUUAAUAGUGUGUGUUUAAAGAUCUCAUUAUCAGAUAAAUUGUGUUAUAAAGUGGUUCAAAUUACCAUUCAAUUUGUUAAGAAAAUUUAUAUGUACAUUUAUUGAACAAUUACUAAGAUGAGUACAAAAAAAGUAAUAACUAGCUUAUUUUACCCAAUGUAAAAGUAAACUAUCAUAAAUGUUUCACUGUAUAAAACAUAUCAAUACUGUAAAUCUGGUGGAAUAUUUUGAUAGAAACAAUUGGUUUGGUGAAUGUAAUUGUUAUAUGAGUAACUUAUGUUCAUUAAUUUGAUUGUCACAGUUUUCUUCACACGAUUGUACAUAUACUACAAAAUAAUUUGCUUUGAGUUUAUUACUUUUUCAUAAUUCAAGAAAAUAAUAUAUUCAUAUCAUUUAAUGUAGAGUAUGUUUUCAGAAAAUGUUGUAUCUUUUAAGGCAAACUCUCAGGGAUAUUUACUGCUGAUUUUUCAAAGUAUUCAUCAAUAUAAUUAUAUCUUACCAUGUGAGUCUGUUUUAUCUUGAAGUCUAGAUGCUGUAAGAGACAAGUCAAAAUAAAGUGUUACAUCCAUA
Molecule: long non-coding RNA, 1857 nt
Organism: Limulus polyphemus (Atlantic horseshoe crab)
Lineage: Eukaryota; Metazoa; Arthropoda; Merostomata; Xiphosura; Limulidae
Exons: 2
Source: RefSeq, a predicted model, not a curated record